Molecule: ribosomal RNA, 292 nt
Filed under: uncultured bacterium
Lineage: Bacteria
Description: partial 16S ribosomal RNA
Rfam family: Bacterial small subunit ribosomal RNA
Source: RNAcentral
GUGCCAGCAGCCGCGGUAAUACGUAGGGGGCAAGCGUUGUUCGGAAUUACUGGGCGUAAAGGGCGCGUAGGCGGCAUGGCAAGUCGGGAGUGAAAGCCCGGGGCUCAACCCCGGAGGGUCUCUCGAAACUGCCGAGCUAGAGUGCGGAAGAGGCAAUCGGAAUUCCCAGUGUAGCGGUGAAAUGCGUAGAUAUUGGGAAGAACACCGGAGGCGAAGGCGGAUUGCUGGGCCGACACUGACGCUGAGGCGCGAAAGCCAGGGGAGCAAACGGGAUUAGAUACCCCCGUAGUCC